AGGACGAACGCUGGCGGCGUGCUUAACACAUGCAAGUCGAACGGACCGAGUUGAUAGCUUGCUAUUGAUGAGGUUAGUGGCAAACGGGUGAGUAACGCGUGAGGAACCUGCCUUGGAGUGGGGAAUAACACAGAGAAAUUUGUGCUAAUACCGCAUAAUGCAGUUGGGUCGCAUGGCUCUGACUGCCAAAGAUUUAUCGCUCUAAGAUGGCCUCGCGUCUGAUUAGCUAGUUGGUGGGGUAACGGCCCACCAAGGCGACGAUCAGUAGCCGACCUGAGAGGGUGACCGGCCACAUUGGGACUGAGACACGGCCCAAACUCCUACGGGAGGCAGCAGUGGGGAAUAUUGCACAAUGGGCGAAAGCCUGAUGCAGCGACGCCGCGUGAACGAAGAAGUAUUUCGGUAUGUAAAGUUCUAUCAGCAGGGAAGAUAAUGACGGUACCUGACUAAGAAGCACCGGCUAAAUACGUG
This 471-nucleotide ribosomal RNA is filed under the name uncultured bacterium. Its description in RNAcentral is "bacterial SSU rRNA". It matches the Rfam family "Bacterial small subunit ribosomal RNA", at positions 26 to 507 of the family's 1533-position model. The record is from RNAcentral.